RNAcentral lists this ribosomal RNA (252 nucleotides) under uncultured bacterium. RNAcentral's name for it is "partial 16S ribosomal RNA". It matches the Rfam family "Bacterial small subunit ribosomal RNA", at positions 524 to 776 of the family's 1533-position model. The record is from RNAcentral.
UACGUAGGGUGCGAGCGUUAGUCGGAAUUACUGGGCGUAAAGCGUACGCAGGCGGCUCUGUAAGACAGAUGUGAAAUCCCCGGGCUUAACCUGGGAACUGCAUUUGUGACUGCAGGGCUAGAGUCUGUCAGAGGGGGUGGAAUUCCACGUGUAGCAGUGAAAUGCGUAGAGAUGUGGAGGAACACCGAUGGCGAAGGCAGCCCCCUGGGAUGAGACUGACGCUCAUGUACGAAAGCGUGGGGAGCAAACAGG